This 602-nucleotide unclassified non-coding RNA is filed under the name Hevea brasiliensis (rubber tree). Lineage: Eukaryota; Viridiplantae; Streptophyta; Magnoliopsida; Malpighiales; Euphorbiaceae. The record is from RNAcentral.
AAGAGUGGUCAACUAAAAGAGCAAAAUUGCUUGAGAAAAGGGUAAGGAGUGUUGAGGCAAAAGAAGCAUUUAGACUUCAGAAAGAGAACAAUUUUGUGAUUCUUGAUGUACGACCUGAAGCCGAGUUCAAAGAGGCUCAUCCAGAAGGAGCUAUUAAUGUCCAGAUAUACAGGCUAAUAAAGGAAUGGACAGCUUGGGACAUUGCUAGGAGGGCUGCAUUUGCCUUUUUUGGCAUAUUUUCUGGAACUGAAGAAAAUCCUGAAUUCAUACGACUUGUUGAGUCAAAAAUAAAUAAGGAUGCAAAGAUUAUAGUCGCUUGCUCAUCCGGUGGUACAAUGAAGCCUACCCAAAAUCUUCCCGAGGGCCAACAAUCAAGGUCACUUAUUGCUGCAUAUUUGCUAGUUCUAAAUGGUUACACUAAUGUAUUUCAUUUGGAGGGAGGAAUCUAUAAUUGGUACAAAGAAGAAUUACCAGUAGCUUCAGAAGAAUGAAGUUAAACCACCUAAACUCUAUCGGAUAAAUAUGCUACCUGCUGUACCAUUUUUCUUUUGUACAGACAAGGCAUUAGAAAAAUCAACUGAGAUUCAUAAUGUAGAUUAUUA